RNAcentral lists this ribosomal RNA (2669 nucleotides) under Escherichia coli. RNAcentral describes it as "bacterial LSU rRNA". It matches the Rfam family "Bacterial large subunit ribosomal RNA". The record is from RNAcentral. Lineage: Bacteria; Pseudomonadati; Pseudomonadota; Gammaproteobacteria; Enterobacterales; Enterobacteriaceae.
CCCCCAGUAGCGGCGAGCGAACGGGGAGGAGCCCAGAGCCUGAAUCAGUGUGUGUGUUAGUGGAAGCGUCUGGAAAGGCGCGCGAUACAGGGUGACAGCCCCGUACACAAAAAUGCACAUAUUGUGAGCUCGAUGAGUAGGGCGGGACACGUGGUAUCCUGUCUGAAUAUGGGGGGACCAUCCUCCAAGGCUAAAUACUCCUGACUGACCGAUAGUGAACCAGUACCGUGAGGGAAAGGCGAAAAGAACCCCGGCGAGGGGAGUGAAAAAGAACCUGAAACCGUGUACGUACAAGCAGUGGGAGCCUCUUAAUGGGGUGACUGCGUACCUUUUGUAUAAUGGGUCAGCGACUUAUAUUCUGUAGCAAGGUUAACCGAAUAGGGGAGCCGAAGGGAAACCGAGUCUUAACUGGGCGUUAAGUUGCAGGGUAUAGACCCGAAACCCGGUGAUCUAGCCAUGGGCAGGUUGAAGGUUGGGUAACACUAACUGGAGGACCGAACCGACUAAUGUUGAAAAAUUAGCGGAUGACUUGUGGCUGGGGGUGAAAGGCCAAUCAAACCGGGAGAUAGCUGGUUCUCCCCGAAAGCUAUUUAGGUAGCGCCUCGUGAAUUCAUCUCCGGGGGUAGAGCACUGUUUCGGCAAGGGGGUCAUCCCGACUUACCAACCCGAUGCAAACUGCGAAUACCGGAGAAUGUUAUCACGGGAGACACACGGCGGGUGCUAACGUCCGUCGUGAAGAGGGAAACAACCCAGACCGCCAGCUAAGGUCCCAAAGUCAUGGUUAAGUGGGAAACGAUGUGGGAAGGCCCAGACAGCCAGGAUGUUGGCUUAGAAGCAGCCAUCAUUUAAAGAAAGCGUAAUAGCUCACUGGUCGAGUCGGCCUGCGCGGAAGAUGUAACGGGGCUAAACCAUGCACCGAAGCUGCGGCAGCGACACUAUGUGUUGUUGGGUAGGGGAGCGUUCUGUAAGCCUGUGAAGGUGGCCUGUGAGGGUUGCUGGAGGUAUCAGAAGUGCGAAUGCUGACAUAAGUAACGAUAAAGCGGGUGAAAAGCCCGCUCGCCGGAAGACCAAGGGUUCCUGUCCAACGUUAAUCGGGGCAGGGUGAGUCGACCCCUAAGGCGAGGCCGAAAGGCGUAGUCGAUGGGAAACAGGUUAAUAUUCCUGUACUUGGUGUUACUGCGAAGGGGGGACGGAGAAGGCUAUGUUGGCCGGGCGACGGUUGUCCCGGUUUAAGCGUGUAGGCUGGUUUUCCAGGCAAAUCCGGAAAAUCAAGGCUGAGGCGUGAUGACGAGGCACUACGGUGCUGAAGCGACAAAUGCCCUGCUUCCAGGAAAAGCCUCUAAGCAUCAGGUAACAUCAAAUCGUACCCCAAACCGACACAGGUGGUCAGGUAGAGAAUACCAAGGCGCUUGAGAGAACUCGGGUGAAGGAACUAGGCAAAAUGGUGCCGUAACUUCGGGAGAAGGCACGCUGAUAUGUAGGUGAAGCGACUUGCUCGUGGAGCUGAAAUCAGUCGAAGAUACCAGCUGGCUGCAACUGUUUAUUAAAAACACAGCACUGUGCAAACACGAAAGUGGACGUAUACGGUGUGACGCCUGCCCGGUGCCGGAAGGUUAAUUGAUGGGGUUAGCGGUAACGCGAAGCUCUUGAUCGAAGCCCCGGUAAACGGCGGCCGUAACUAUAACGGUCCUAAGGUAGCGAAAUUCCUUGUCGGGUAAGUUCCGACCUGCACGAAUGGCGUAAUGAUGGCCAGGCUGUCUCCACCCGAGACUCAGUGAAAUUGAACUCGCUGUGAAGAUGCAGUGUACCCGCGGCAAGACGGAAAGACCCCGUGAACCUUUACUAUAGCUUGACACUGAACAUUGAGCCUUGAUGUGUAGGAUAGGUGGGAGGCUUUGAAGUGUGGACGCCAGUCUGCAUGGAGCCGACCUUGAAAUACCACCCUUUAAUGUUUGAUGUUCUAACGUGGGCCCCUUACCGGGGUUGCGGACAGUGUCUGGUGGGUAGUUUGACUGGGGCGGUCUCCUCCUAAAGAGUAACGGAGGAGCACGAAGGUUGGCUAAUCCUGGUCGGACAUCAGGAGGUUAGUGCAAUGGCAUAAGCCAGCUUGACUGCGAGCGUGACGGCGCGAGCAGGUGCGAAAGCAGGUCAUAGUGAUCCGGUGGUUCUGAAUGGAAGGGCCAUCGCUCAACGGAUAAAAGGUACUCCGGGGAUAACAGGCUGAUACCGCCCAAGAGUUCAUAUCGACGGCGGUGUUUGGCACCUCGAUGUCGGCUCAUCACAUCCUGGGGCUGAAGUAGGUCCCAAGGGUAUGGCUGUUCGCCAUUUAAAGUGGUACGCGAGCUGGGUUUAGAACGUCGUGAGACAGUUCGGUCCCUAUCUGCCGUGGGCGCUGGAGAACUGAGGGGGGCUGCUCCUAGUACGAGAGGACCGGAGUGGACGCAUCACUGGUGUUCGGGUUGUCAUGCCAAUGGCACUGCCCGGUAGCUAAAUGCGGAAGAGAUAAGUGCUGAAAGCAUCUAAGCACGAAACUUGCCCCGAGAUGAGUUCUCCCUGACUCCUUGAGAGUCCUGAAGGAACGUUGAAGACGACGACGUUGAUAGGCCGGGUGUGUAAGCGCAGCGAUGCGUUGAGCUAACCGGUACUAAUGAACCGUGAGGCUUAACCUU